Non-coding RNA from Schizosaccharomyces pombe (fission yeast), 1187 nucleotides. The record is from the annotation of a GenBank genome assembly. NCBI's taxonomy places the organism in Eukaryota, Fungi, Ascomycota, Schizosaccharomycetes, Schizosaccharomycetales, Schizosaccharomycetaceae.
UAUCGUGUUCAUUGAAACACCAAUAUACCUGUCAAUAUUGUGUUUCUCAAGAUUAAAAACAUGAUGGGAUUUUUCUUUGUUCAAAACUUCGUGACAAAUUCAACAUGAUGCGUAUAUACACAUAAGUUGCUUCACUGUUCUUCUGCAAUCAAACAUUUCUUAAGAUUUUUAAGGUUCGUAAAAUGUCGUUUGAGAACAAUCUAAUAUGAGCAUACACAGCAUCGCUAAUGAAAUAGCUUCAUUAAGAUCGCUUUACAUUUCAAUUUUACUACGAUAUCAUACUCAGGCAAAAGCGAAAUUAUGCUCCUGAACAAUUGCACGACGAGAAAGAAAAUUUAAAAAAUACACACAAGAAACACGUAUAUUAUAUUUACAAAAAAUAUGUUACAUUUCGUACUCAAAUGCUGACGAAAUGCUUCAAACUCAAUUAUCCACACCUCCAUUACCUUUUCCGAAUGGUAAGAAAAUCUGAGUACAAGUAGCAGUGUAGGCAUAGGAUGUGGGGUUAUACGAGGUACCAUCAGGACCGAUGAAAUCAAAAUCAAAUCCACCUUUACCAGCUCCAUUGGCAACGACAAAUCUGAUGGGUAUAAAGGAACCUGCAGUUAAGGAACCCAUACUAAACGAAGCAAUGCCGGUUUUGCCAGUAGUAAUAUGCCAGUAAGCAUAUGAAUCGUAAUUUUUGUUGGACCAUCCGGAAAUAGCCUUACUACCGGCCCAGCCGUAAAAUACAUCAUCAACAUUGGUGAUCGCGAGAGUAAACAACCCUGAAACAGGAACUCGGAAAAAGAAUUGAUAAAUAACAACCUUACAAGUGGAAGUAGUAUUACCCAUAACGGUAGCGUUUGGCGGAUACGCAGGAAGAUCAUAAGACGAAGUCCAUUGGGGUAAAUCAGCUGGUGAAGUAAGGACACCAGUGAAUAAAGGAGAGGAUUGAUCAAGGUCGCUGGAUCCAAAAUAAGCGGGCUUGGUAAAAGCAGUAACAUUGGUUAUACCGUUACUGGCAUAAAAUUAACUUUUUGAAGAUGCAAUGGUAUAGUUAUAAACUGCAUAUUGCAACCCCCGAAUGCCACUACAUACUGCUGUAGGAAUAACAACAACUGUUGAAGCAGCAGAGCUAGCAGAACUGUAAGUAACAGUAGUAGGAACCGUACCUGAAUAAAUAGUGUUUGGCCCAGCCUUAACAA